GGCUCAGGACGAACGCUGGCGGCACGCUUAACACAUGCAAGUCGAACGAACGGAGAUAGCUUGCUAUCAAAGUUAGUGGCGGACGGGUGAGUAACACGUGAGCAAUCUGCCUUUAAGUGGGGAAUAACGAUUGGAAACGGUCGGUAAUACCGCAUAAUAUAGCGAAACCGCAUGGUUUUUGCUAUCAAAGAUUUAUCGCUUAAAGAUGAGCUCGCGUCUGAUUAGCUAGUUGGUGAGGUAACGGCUCACCAAGGCGACGAUCAGUAGCCGGACUGAGAGGUUGAACGGCCACAUUGGGACUGAGACACGGCCCAGACUCCUACGGGAGGCAGCAGUGGGGAAUAUUGCACAAUGGGCGCAAGCCUGAAUGCAGCGAUGCCGCGUGAGGGAAGAAGGUUUUCGGAUUGUAAACCUCUGUUGACAGGGACGAUAAUGACGGUACCUGUUCAGAAAGCUCCGGCUAACUACGUGCCAGCCGCCGC
This 482-nucleotide ribosomal RNA is filed under the name uncultured bacterium. RNAcentral's name for it is "bacterial SSU rRNA". It matches the Rfam family "Bacterial small subunit ribosomal RNA", at positions 21 to 518 of the family's 1533-position model. The record is from RNAcentral.